CUCUGGCAGAAGUCAAUGGCUCAUUUGAUUGUCUAGCACAAGCAACUCAAUCCUUGCAUAUGGUAGAUAAGAAAUUGCCCUCAGCUCUGGUUUAAGUAUUGCCUUCCAUCUCCAUGGCACUCAUCGUCUACCACUCCUCACUGAGCUCCCUGCAGCCUGCAAUUUAGCACAUGUUCAUGCUGGGGGGAUCUCCAGAGGUCUCUAGCCCAAGCUACUCCAAGCAGGACCAGUGCUCCUCUCAGCCUGCUCAGCACCUGCACCCCGUCCACAUGAGUUUCAGACAAAGCCAGGUCACUGCACAGCUGGAGGCCCAAGGUGUGCGAUGCUGAGCCAGACAGGCAGUAAAUACCUGAGGCCUGAGUCUGCCUGCCUCGCUGACUUCCGUGGGAGUUGCACUGGGGUGUGUUCAGGGUUCAUGCGCACAGCACAACGCGUUUCAGGAAGGGAGGCGGCUCAGGGCCACGCAGCCAUGCUUUGCUAAAGGGAGCCCACCUCCCUGUGGGAGAAGAGCUUCAGAGGAGACAUCAGGGACUUGUGAGUCAUUCCCUUGCCAGCUACGUUCCUGCUCAACUCAAUGACCCUGAGAAAGCCACGCAUGUACCCUUUCUGUCAUUCCCAGGUCAAAAGAAAUUCCAGCUAAACAUUGGGUAUACUAAGCUGCAGAGAGGAUUUUGAGUUUGCACUGUUUUGCAAGUCUGCAUUUGCUGCCAAAAAAAGGGUUUUUUUACGGAGAGAGAAGCAUGAUGAGGAACUUGAGGAGUCAAGACUGUGUUUCUCACUGCGCAGUUACCUGAGGAAGAGCCAUGAGCAGGGCAGAGCAGAUCUGUCCUGGCUGCCUCCCAGCUGCCCUCCAACGCCAGCACCUGGCCUUGAUUCCAGAGCAGAAACCUGCAGCUCUGGCAGGACAAGACAAAAAGACAACUUAUUUGAUGGUCUGCAUUUCCAAAAGGAAACGCUACUAAAGUGGUUCUACGGCUGGUACCGCAGUGGGAAGCGCCAUGUGUGUGGGUGCCUGGGGAGCCAGGCUCUGCUCCACCAGGCCUUUUUUCAUCUUCCCACGUGCUUACUCACAGCGCCAGAUGCUGCCUCUCCAACCCGGUGGUGCCAACAUGCCGUUCAAUUGCAAGUUAUUGUAAGCCCAGGCUGUGAGGUGAAGAAUGUUUUAGAAGCACGGCUUGAUAAACCUGUGAAAUAAAUACAUACAAAUCCACUAC
This 1214-nucleotide long non-coding RNA is filed under the name Coturnix japonica (Japanese quail). RNAcentral's name for it is "lncRNA (ENSCJPG00005001438.1)". Lineage: Eukaryota; Metazoa; Chordata; Aves; Galliformes; Phasianidae. The record is from RNAcentral.